UUUACUUUUAUUAGAAAUUUA
Molecule: transfer RNA, 21 nt
Filed under: Drosophila percnosoma
Lineage: Eukaryota; Metazoa; Arthropoda; Insecta; Diptera; Drosophilidae
Description: partial tRNA-Leu
Source: RNAcentral